Molecule: long non-coding RNA, 504 nt
Filed under: Nicotiana benthamiana
Lineage: Eukaryota; Viridiplantae; Streptophyta; Magnoliopsida; Solanales; Solanaceae
Description: long non-coding RNA (NBEN_LNC029376)
Source: RNAcentral
UUUGAAUCCCCCCGCUCCCAAUUCUCUCUCGAUCUCUCUCUCAAACACUAGCCGCUGCCUUCUACCACCACCCUAAAACCGCCUGAAUCAAUAGCUUCCAAGGCCAUUAAAGGCAUGUAUCUGCCUCCUAUGACUCCUACAUGCUCGAUUACUAUGAUUUCACGGCUAGACCUUGAAGAAACUGGGUCCAGAUCUCAAAUGUUUUCAGUUCUAUGGUUGUUUCCAGUCACCUUCAAUCUUCGCUCUGGCCAGCCAUGGCUAUUCAAACCCGACUCUUGGCUUCUCCUGCUUAAAUCAAUGACUUCACCAUCUAGGGUUCUUCUGAAACCCUAACUUUCAAGGUUCUUCCGAUUACUUUAGAUUCGUUUCAAAUCUGUGUUUACUCUAAACUCCUAAACAUUUUCUGAAGGUUUGUUUCAAUACUUUACCUUCAGAAUCUUUAUCUUUUCCGAUUUAGGAUUUUGUCAAGUUAUUUCGAAGUUUUUCUGAUUUUUAAUACGUUCC